Molecule: ribosomal RNA, 431 nt
Filed under: uncultured bacterium
Lineage: Bacteria
Description: bacterial SSU rRNA
Rfam family: Bacterial small subunit ribosomal RNA
Source: RNAcentral
UGGGGAAUUUUGCACAAUGGGCGCAAGCCUGAUGCAGCAACGCCGCGUGAGUGAAGAAGGCCCUCUGGGUUGUAAAGCUCUUUCGGCUGGGAAGAAGGGUUCGUAUCCUAAUAUGGUACGAAUUUGACGGUACCAGAAUAAGAAGCACCGGCUAACUUCGUGCCAGCAGCCGCGGUAAUACGAAGGGUGCAAGCGUUGUUCGGAAUAACUGGGCGUAAAGGGCGCGUAGGCGGGUUGGUAAGUUAGAAGUGAAAUCCCCGGGCUUAACCCGGGAACUGCUUCUAAUACUGCCAGUCUUGAAUGUUCGAGAGGGUGGUGGAAUUCCCGGUGUAGAAGUGAAAUUCGUAGAUAUCGGGAGGAACAUCCGAGGCGAAGGCGGCCACCUGGCGAAACAUUGACGCUGAGGCGCGAAAGCGUGGGGAUCAAACAGG